CAAGGAAUAGUUUAUUAAAAAUUUUAAUUUUGGAGAUUAAAGAUAAGAGUUCUCUUUUCCUUGA
Molecule: transfer RNA, 64 nt
Filed under: Closteromerus claviger
Lineage: Eukaryota; Metazoa; Arthropoda; Insecta; Coleoptera; Cerambycidae
Description: tRNA-Pro
Source: RNAcentral